ACUUCCUCUGCAGAGCCUCAGUUUCCUUCUCUGUCAAGUGGGGUUAAUAAUACAUCCACUGCUGUAUUUGCCGUACAGAAUUAUUCUUUAAAAAAACUCUUUGGAAUGCUUGUUCCUCUGGUGGUAUUUCCAACCUGUGCAAACUGGUGAGAGACCAGUUUUGGCUUCUGACAGGGCCACAUUUAUUCAGAAAGCUUAGGAAUGGAAGGUCACAUUGCUUCAAGACACCUUUACUGCAUGAGGUAGCAUGACUCCGUUUGUUUAUGCCCUGGCUGAGCAGCCAGGAGAUUAGCUGUUUUUGCUCUGUCCCAAGGAGAUGAUCUCAUCUGAGAUAGAUUUUGCUUUUGUUCUACUGAGAGAGACUCACUUCCAACAGGGAGCUUAAAUACAGCAUGGGAGGCAGAUACCCAUAAGACAAAGCAGGCCCCUGACAGUUCAAAUAUAGCUGUGGCAAUGGAGGGUUUGUAAAGGCAAGCUGGAGGGGGUUUGGCUGUGGGCCCUUUCCUGGGGUUGCCAUGGAGGGAGAAUGGGACUGAGAACUAAGCUGACAAAGCAAAUUUAACACCAGGGGUAAGGUGAAGUCCAGCCAAGCCCUGGGAAGGCUUUGCUGGAAUGGCCCUAUCUAGGAUAGCAGGAAAGAGAAAGGAUCUGCUACCAGACAGGAUUAACCCUUGAGAAGCAGUCUGGGCAAUGAAAAGCAUUGAAGAGACCCUGAAGAGAUCCAAAACUCAGCUUUAACAUUACUAUGGGAGUACAGCAUCUUGUUGACACUUCUGGACAAGCAAGAAGGUCAACCAGAAUGGGACAUCAUGUAGAAGCCCCAGUCAGAAGAAACAGGAAGCACUGAUCAGAGUGCUGACCCAUGAAAGUAUUGAAAUAAAUUAAAUACAUGGAAUCCUGGAUAGAGUCA
Molecule: long non-coding RNA, 910 nt
Filed under: Monodelphis domestica (gray short-tailed opossum)
Lineage: Eukaryota; Metazoa; Chordata; Mammalia; Didelphimorphia; Didelphidae
Description: lncRNA (ENSMODG00000040053.1)
Source: RNAcentral